Molecule: ribosomal RNA, 1344 nt
Filed under: Legionella pneumophila
Lineage: Bacteria; Pseudomonadati; Pseudomonadota; Gammaproteobacteria; Legionellales; Legionellaceae
Description: partial 23S ribosomal RNA
Rfam family: Bacterial large subunit ribosomal RNA
Source: RNAcentral
AAUCCUGGUUGAAGAUGGGUGGACCAUCAUCCAAGGCUAAAUACUACUUACUGACCGAUAGUGAACCAGUACCGUGAGGGAAAGGUGAAAAGAACCCCGGAGAGGGGAGUGAAAUAGAAUCUGAAACCGUUUGCGUACAAGCAGUGGGAGCAUGGUUUAGGCUGUGUGACUGCGUACCUUUUGUAUAAUGGGUCAGCGAGUUACUUUCAGUGGCGAGGUUAACUGAAUAAGGGAGCCGUAGAGAAAUCGAGUCUGAAUAGGGCGAUAGUCGCUGGGAGUAGACCCGAAACCGGGCGAUCUAGCCAUGUGCAGGAUGAAGGUUGGGUAACACCAACUGGAGGUCCGAACCGGGUAAUGUUGAAAAAUUAUCGGAUGACGUGUGGCUAGGAGUGAAAGGCUAAUCAAGCCCGGAGAUAGCUGGUUCUCCCCGAAAGCUAUUUAGGUAGCGCCUCGUGAAUGAUUACUGGGGGUAGAGCACUGUUUCGGCUAGGGGGCUGUCAUGGCUUACCAAACCGAUGCAAACUCCGAAUACCGGCUAAUUGAAUCACGGGAGACACACGGCGGGUGCUAACGUCCGUCGUGGAGAGGGAAACAACCCAGACCGCCAGCUAAGGUCCCCAAGUACUAGUUAAGUGGGAAACGAUGUGGGAAGGCAUAGACAGCCAGGAGGUUGGCUUAGAAGCAGCCACCCUUUAAAGAAAGCGUAAUAGCUCACUGGUCGAGUCGGCCUGCGCGGAAGAUGUAACGGGGCUAAAACUAGUCACCGAAGCUGCGGAUGUGCGCGAAGGCGCACGUGGUAGGGGAGCGUUCUGUAGGCUGAUGAAGGUGCAUUGAGAAGUGUGCUGGAGGUAUCAGAAGUGCGAAUGCUGACAUGAGUAACGAUAAUGUGGGUGAAAAGCCCACACGCCGGAAGUCCCAGGUUUCCUGCACGACGUUAAUCGGAGCAGGGUGAGUCGGCCCCUAAGGCGAGGCUGAAGAGCGUAGUCGAUGGGAACCAGGUUAAUAUUCCUGGACUUUUUAUAAGUGGUGAAGUGGGGACGAAGAAGGCUAGGUGAGCCAGGCGUUGGUUGUCCUGGUACUUGCAUGUAGGGGGGAAGACUUGGCAAAUCCGGUUUUCCAUAACUCUGAGGUGCGAAGUGGUUCUGACCUUUUGGUACAGAGAAGUCAUUGAUGCCCGGCUUCCAGGAAAAGCUGCUAGCCAUAACUUAUAGAGAACCGUACCGCAAACCGACACAGGUGGACAGGUAGAGAAUACUAAGGCGCUUGAGAGAACUCGGGUGAAGGAACUAGGCAAAAUGGUACCGUAACUUCGGGAGAAGGUACGCCCUUUCUGGUGAUGGGAUU